ACAAAGAGGAGUCUGGACUUCUCAAAAACACUCAGAGGCUUUCCUUUAAUCAGCAUUUUUGAAAGCUCUAAAUGCAAUUGGCAGUCUCUAAAUUUUUAAAGGAGACUAACCAGAACAAUUAACCACGUCUCUGAAAGCUUGAAAGACUCUCAGACCCUAAAACAGAGAGCCCUGUAUCUCCCUGCUCCCCCACUUGCAUUCCACCUCCAUUUUUCCCAUCUCACCACCACUGUUUGCCUGGAACAUUGCAGGGACCCUGAGGGUACCAGCAAAAGCCCUUUGAGCCCCUCCAGCUCCUCCAAGAUCGAAGACAACUGGGUGCCUUUCUCCUGAGUCUCAGACUUCCCACACAAUUCCGGUCCUGAGUUCCGUUCAGCUAGAUAUUCUCACUCCUCGAUGAAGUGGGAGAGCCAUAAUGCAAGCUAUUCCUAGUGGAAAAGUUGAGAAGGAAGAACAGCUUGUUCCAGACCAGUGAAAUUGAAAUUCCCAUGUGGAACAACAUAAGAGGAAAGAGGCCCUCCCUGACAAAGCUGGACAGCCCUCUCUCAUGGCAAUUUGGCAAUAACUAUCAACAUGUUCAGUGUGUAUAACCUUUGCCCAAGCAAUACCACUGCUGGGAAUCUACAGAAAUUCUACCAGAAGACCACAAAGAUACAUAAGCCCUGAGCACUGAAGCACUGUCUGAUGUGAAACCUGAAAAUAUCCUUUGUGUUUACCCAUAAGGAAACAUUGAUGUGUUUAUGCUGUGAACAGGGCUGUUAGAGCAAGGCCGAUCUGAGGGCUAAAUAUUGAAGUAUAUCAUUAUGAUGACAUGUGAGAAGAGUAAGUCACAGAAUAGGAUUAGCUUACUGCUUAUAUUUAACUGAUAUGAAAUUGCCAAGCAAAGACAAUUAUGCACUCCACAGAAAACACAAGAGUAAUGUAAAUAACAUUUGGAAUUCUGCACACCCUUCUACCAUCCUCAGUCCCAAAGGGAGACGCAGGCAUCAUCAAUCUCCCGGGUCUCCCAGCACUGAGAGCUGCUCUGGGGUCUGAGUGUGGCUUC
Molecule: non-coding RNA, 1045 nt
Organism: Chlorocebus sabaeus (green monkey)
Lineage: Eukaryota; Metazoa; Chordata; Mammalia; Primates; Cercopithecidae
Source: RefSeq, a predicted model, not a curated record